Tigriopus californicus is the source of this 831-nucleotide long non-coding RNA. RefSeq lists it as uncharacterized. NCBI's taxonomy places the organism in Eukaryota, Metazoa, Arthropoda, Copepoda, Harpacticoida, Harpacticidae. The transcript has 2 exons. The record is from RefSeq and is a predicted model, not a curated record.
CCCUGUACCGGCAUUCACCGACUCAAAAAGUCCGGGAACCAAUGCUAAUUCUGCUUCUCUGUACGUCUCUAAUGUUGCAUUUUUAGUUCUAUGUUGAGAUCACUUAAACAAACACCUGCCAUUGUUGAUAAAGGAGUAUUUGUGUCGUUGUAUUUUAAAGAUAUCUGGUCAUGCUCUGAAAUAAACAAGGAAAUGAAUAUUGCUAUCGCAAACUUGUCCUUUUCUUAGAGGCACCAAUCUGUGGGAUUUAUUCUCAAUGAGGAUCACACCUCAUAGAAAAUAGUUCAUUCCCAUCUCUAAGUUGAGACUGGUUCUUUUGUCAAAUCUUUCAAAUAAAAAAAGAUUAAAAUGAAUUUUUUUGGGUUGGGUUUGGUCAUCAUGAUCGUUUCCGAGAGUUUUCUCGUGUCUUCUCGUAGCACAGGACCUGAUGAGGUGUCAAAGUUCAUGAUUGAAGUCAAGACUGCGCUGCACCAAAUAUGUCCGGGCUUUGUCGAAGUUCGAUAUGGCGAAGAGGCGAUCAAACUGACACCUAAAAAUCAUCCUAAACUCGACAUAAGGCAUCGACGAAAUGUGCAGGUCUCAAAUCUGGGUGCUUGUUGCUUCAAACUCUUCGAAAAGCCCCACUUCCGGGGGCGGGCUGAAAUCUAUUUACCGCAGCAAACCGGGCAUUGGCCAAGAUUGGGAUCAGUAGCCAAACGAAGAUGCCCCACCGUCAAGAGCUGAGCAAGUUUCAACUCAACUGAAUCAAUCUAUUCAUUUAUGAAGAUGCAAUAUUGCCCUGAUUUUUGGGCUACUUAUUGCUGAUUUACAAAUAAAAGUUGAUUCAAAGAA